Molecule: ribosomal RNA, 279 nt
Filed under: uncultured Glomus
Lineage: Eukaryota; Fungi; Glomeromycota; Glomeromycetes; Glomerales; Glomeraceae
Description: partial 18S small subunit ribosomal RNA
Rfam family: Eukaryotic small subunit ribosomal RNA
Source: RNAcentral
CCAAUAGCGUAUAUUAAAGUUGUUGCAGUUAAAAAGCUCGUAGUUGAAUUUCGGGAUCAGUUGGUCGGUCGUGCCUCGGUACGUACUGGUCAAAUUGAUUCCUACCUUCUGACGAACCACGAUGUCAUUAAUUUGGUGUCGCGGGAAAUCAGGACUGUUACUUUGAAAAAAUUAGAGUGUUUAAAGCAGGCUCGCGCUUGAAUACAUUAGCAUGGAAUAAUGAAAUAGGACGUUUGAUUCUAUUUUGUUGGUUUCUAGGAUCGACGUAAUGAUUAAUAG